RNAcentral lists this ribosomal RNA (254 nucleotides) under uncultured bacterium. RNAcentral describes it as "partial 16S ribosomal RNA". It matches the Rfam family "Bacterial small subunit ribosomal RNA", at positions 524 to 776 of the family's 1533-position model. The record is from RNAcentral.
UACGAGUGCCCUAAGCGUUAUCCGGAAUCAUUGGGCGUAAAGGGUGUGUAGGUGGUUAUGUUAGUCUUGUGUUAAAUUCUUCGGCUCAACCGGGGGUCUGCGCGAGAAACGGCAUAACUAGAGGACAGGAGAGGUGUGCGGAACUCAUAGUGUAGGGGUGAAAUCCGUUGAUAUUAUGGGGAACACCAAAUGCGAAGGCAGCACACUGGCCUGCUUCCUGACACUGAAACACGAAAGCGUGGGUAGCGAAUGGG